AAUUUCUCACAAAUUCAGGUUUUCAUUUAAACAAAAUCUUUCUAAUUUUUCUCAUUUUCCUCUCUCUCACUUUCAUAUAUCACUUCGUCCAAUCCCAUCUCUCUCUAACUCUCUGACAAAGAAAAAAAAGAAAAAAAGAAAAACUUUCCCUCAUUGUCUCUCUCUCCAAUCACCGAUCCUCCAAUUCCCACUGCGAUCUAGGGUUUCUUCCCAAACCGCAUUUGAAUCUCCAAUUUCAAUUCCCUCUUCUGCCUAUCGCGGAUUCUCCGUAGGGUUUCCCCUGAUUCGGUAAUUGUUGGAUGAGAGAGAGAGAAAAGAUUGAAUGACGACGAGCAUGGAGAUCGUGAUCGAUGCGGCGUCGUUCGACGCCGACCUCUUGCAGCUCUCCGAGGUUUCUCCUUUGGCACUCAAAUCCAAUCCGGUCUUUACCGAGAAGCUCUUCGAGCAAUGGCUUUCGCUUCCUGAUUCUAUUCGUCAGGUAACAUUAUUGCUCAAUGAAGCAAAGGCGGGUGGUCCCUUGAACGUCCCUGGAAAUUCUUCUAGUCCACGUGCUUCCACAAGCAAUUCUUUGCCUUCUAUGUUUCCUGCAGGCAGUGCUCCUCCACUUUCACCGAGGAGUUCAUCUGGUUCCCCUCGGAUAAUGAAACAGAGGCCUGGACCUUCUAUUUUAAGUUCACCCCUGAAAGUGGUUAGUGAGCCGGUUAAAGAAUUGAUACCUCAGUUUUACUUUCAAAAUGGUCGUCCACCACCAAAUGAAUUAAAAGAGCAAUGCUUAAUGAGAAUUAAUCGGUUUUUCCAUGGGCACUUGGAUGGACUCCAGAUGCAUGAAUUUAAAUUAGUAACUAAGGAAGUCUGCAAGCUACCAUCAUUCUUCUCCACGGCCCUUUUUAGAAAGAUUGACGUUAAUGGCACUGGUUUGGUGACAAGGGAUGCAUUUGUUCAGUACUGGGUCAUUGGAAAUAAGUUGACAAUGGAUAUAGCAACCCAAAUGUAUACCAUCUUGAAGCAACCGGAUAUCAAAUUCCUUACUCAGGAUGACUUCAAACCUGUUCUUCGUGAACUUUUAGCAACUCAUCCAGGGUUGGAGUUCUUACAGAGCACACCAGAGUUUCAGGAAAGAUAUGCUGAAACUGUAAUAUACAGAAUAUUUUACUACAUAAAUAGAUCGGGGAAUGGUCAACUUACACUCAGGGAGCUGAAACGUGGAAACUUAAUUGAUGCAAUGCAACACGCAGAUGAGGAAGAAGACAUCAAUAAAGUUUUGAGGUACUUCUCGUAUGAACAUUUUUAUGUUAUAUACUGCAAGUUUUGGGAGCUGGAUACGGAUCAUGAUUUUUUGAUCGACAAAGAGAACCUUAUCAGAUAUGGUAACCAUGCGCUUACCUACCGGAUUGUUGAUAGAAUAUUUUCUCAGGUUUCAAGGAAGUUCACUAGUAAGGUUGAGGGGAAGAUGGGGUAUGAAGAUUUUGUGUACUUCAUACUGUCAGAGGAGGAUAAAUCAUCUGAACCUAGUCUCGAGUAUUGGUUCAAAUGCAUAGACCUGGAUGGAAAUGGGAUUCUGACACGGAAUGAGCUGCAAUUCUUCUAUGAGGAGCAGUUGCAUCGAAUGGAAUGCAUGGCCCAAGAGCCUGUGCUCUUUGAGGAUAUAUUGUGCCAAAUAAUUGACAUGAUUGGACCUGAGAAUGAGAGCUAUAUCACACUGCAUGACCUGAAAGGUUGUAGACUUUCGGGAAGCGUAUUCAAUAUCCUUUUCAACCUUAAUAAAUUUAUGGCCUUUGAAACUCGUGAUCCAUUUCUCAUUCGUCAGGAACGAGAAAAUCCAACAUUGACAGAGUGGGAUCGCUUUGCACAUAGAGAAUACAUCAGGCUUUCAAUGGAGGAAGAUGUUGAAGAUGCCUCUAAUGGAAGUGCAGAAGUUUGGGAUGAAUCACUUGAGGCUCCUUUCUGAGUUUAAUUAGCUAUUGCUUUCUUUGCACUUAAAGGUGGACUCAGAAAGUUAAAAGUGGAGUGCAAAUUCUGGAGUUGUGUGGCCCUCAUAACAAGUUCUAACAAGGAAGCUCCGAAUUCUUCUUAAACUGGCCAUCCAUCAAAGAAACUGUUUUACUCAGGAUUAUUUCUUAAAUGGACUAUGCAGACACUCGACCUUAUCAGAUGGACAUUCUGGGCUUGGCUGUGUGGAAUGAAUUUUUGUUGUGCUGGAGUUGAAAAUAUUCAGAUCUUUGUGUGCAUUGAACUGACAAACAUUGGGGAGAGUUAAAAGGAAAAUUCCUUUACAUCAUACCAAGAUGUCUCAUGGAGGUGAUUAUAUAAUCCCAGGUUGACGUAGUUCAGAACAUUAAGUGUAUUUGAUUAUUUUCCUUAUUUUAAUUAUGUUAAGUUGUAAGUUAUCAUUCAUGUCUUUCCUCCCAAGUUAGUGGAUGGUUCUUUCAAUACUUCAUUUGUAUGGUAAUGUGCUGGUCAGUGUCAUAGCAAUUUUGGCUUUCACUCUGGUUAUUUUUAAAUUUGAUUCAGUCAA
RNA transcript from Quercus lobata, 2515 nucleotides. It is a transcript of the gene named serine/threonine protein phosphatase 2A regulatory subunit B''beta-like, with no coding region annotated. The transcript has 14 exons. The record is from RefSeq and is a predicted model, not a curated record. NCBI's taxonomy places the organism in Eukaryota, Viridiplantae, Streptophyta, Magnoliopsida, Fagales, Fagaceae.